CUUGGUCAUUUAGAGGAAGUAAAAGUCGUAACAAGGUUUCCGUAGGUGAACCUGCGGAAGGAUCAUUCAUAAUAAGUGUUUUAUGGCACUUUUUAAAUCCAUAUCCACCUUGUGUGCAAUGUCAGUCGAUCUUCUUCAUGGAGAUCGGCCAAACAUCAACCUUAUUUUUUAACUCUUUGUCUGAAAAAUAUUAUGAAUAAACAAUUCAAAAUACAACUUUCAACAACGGGUCUCUUGGCUCUCGCAUCGAUGAAGAACGCAGCGAAAUGCGAUACGUAAUGUGAAUUGCAGAAUUCAGUGAAUCAUCGAAUCUUUGAACGCAUAUUGCGCUCUUUGGUAUUCCGAAGAGCAUGCUUGUUUGAGUAUCAGUAAACACCUCAAAGCUUUUGGAUUUUUUUUGAAAGCUUUGGACUUGAGCAAUCCCAACGCCAAUCUUUUUCAGAUCGGCGGCGGGUUGCUUGAAAUGCAGGUGCAGCUGGACUUUCUCCUGAGCUAAAAGCAUAUUCAUUUAGUCCCGUCAAACGGAUUAUUACUUUUGCUGCAGCUAACAUAAAGGGAGUUUGACCGUAUUGGCUGACUGAUGCAGGAUUUUACAAGGGUCGGCAACGAUUCUUGUUAAACUCGAUCUCAAAUCAAGUAAGACUACCCGCUGAACUUAAGCAUAUCAAUAAGCGGAGGA
Molecule: ribosomal RNA, 679 nt
Filed under: uncultured fungus
Lineage: Eukaryota; Fungi
Description: eukaryotic LSU rRNA
Rfam family: 5.8S ribosomal RNA (bases 215-368)
Source: RNAcentral